GGUGGUGGAAAGUUCCGGCGGUGGAGGAUGAGCUCGCGGCCUAUCAGCUAGUUGGUGAGGUAAUGGCCCACCAAGGCUUCGACGGGUAGCCGGCCUGAGAGGGUGACCGGCCACAUUGGGACUGAGAUACGGCCCAGACUCCUACGGGAGGCAGCAGUGGGGAAUAUUGCGCAAUGGGGGAAACCCUGACGCAGCAACGCCGCGUGAGUGAGGAAGGCUUUAGGGUCGUAAAGCUCUGUCAGAAGGGAAGAAACUACAGUGGUCUAAUAGGCCAUUGUACUGACGGUACCUUCAAAGGAAGCACCGGCUAACUUCGUGCCAGCAGCCGCGGUAAUACGAAGGGGGCUAGCG
RNAcentral lists this ribosomal RNA (351 nucleotides) under Oxyrrhis marina. RNAcentral's name for it is "partial Bacterial small subunit ribosomal RNA". It matches the Rfam family "Bacterial small subunit ribosomal RNA", at positions 195 to 540 of the family's 1533-position model. The record is from RNAcentral. Lineage: Eukaryota; Dinophyceae; Oxyrrhinales; Oxyrrhinaceae.